GACGAACGCUGGCGGCGUGCUUAACACAUGCAAGUCGAACGGAAAGGACCUGCUUUUGUGUGGUGCUCGAGUGGCGAACGGGUGAGUAACACGUGAGUAACCUGCCCUUGACUUUGGGAUAACUUCAGGAAACUGGGGCUAAUACCGGGUAGGAGCUCCUGCUGCAUGGUGGGGGUUGGAAAGUUUCGGCGGUGGGGGAUGGACUCGCGGCUUAUCAGCUUGUUGGUGGGGUAGUGGCUUACCAAGGCUUUGACGGGUAGCCGGCCUGAGCGGGUGACCGGCCACAUUGGGCCUGUGGUACGGCCCCGGCUCCUACGGGAGGCAGCAGUGGAGUUGGUUACACAAUGGGCGGAAGCCUGCUGCCGCAACGCCGCGUCCGGGGUGACGGCCUUCGUGUUGUAAUCCACUUUCGCCUGUGACGAAGCGUGAGUGACGGUAAUGGAUAAAGAAGCCCCGGCUAACUACGUG
This 468-nucleotide ribosomal RNA is filed under the name uncultured bacterium. Its description in RNAcentral is "partial 16S ribosomal RNA". It matches the Rfam family "Bacterial small subunit ribosomal RNA", at positions 28 to 507 of the family's 1533-position model. The record is from RNAcentral.